Molecule: long non-coding RNA, 1096 nt
Organism: Lagenorhynchus albirostris (white-beaked dolphin)
Lineage: Eukaryota; Metazoa; Chordata; Mammalia; Artiodactyla; Delphinidae
Exons: 3
Source: RefSeq, a predicted model, not a curated record
GCGGCCGCCGAGCCCCCCCCGCAGCGCGGGGCGGGAUGGCGCGGGGAGGUCCGGUGGGGGCUGGGACCGGACGCGGGGUUCGGGGCCCCCACCCGCCCGUCGCGCCACCUGCGGAGCCCGCGCUCGACCCGCCGACCCCGCUCCCGCCAGGCGCGCGAACAAAACAAGUUGCAGCUCUCCGCCGCCGGAGGGGGCGGGCGGGUCACUCACCCUCAUCCUGCUCAGCGGGCUCGGCUCGUCCGGCCGCGGGGAUAGGGAGGACCAGAGGACCACCAGCACCAGGAAGCUGCCCACCACCAGCAAACUGCCAGUGUUUGGAGCACGUAUCGUGUGCUAGCCAUUGUUUUAAAUCAUGGGAAACAGCAGGAAACUAGAGGAGCAGAAAUCCUUGUGGUCAUGGAGUCAGACAAUAAACAAGCACAGAUCCCAUCUACAGAGACUGGAGGGUCUCGGAGGACAGGAGCUGACUGAUGAACAUUCACGCUCAUUGUGGGGCACAGACUUUGAGAACAAGCCUUUUCCUGAGUCCCGAGGACCAUAGACACGUUGGCUGAACUGUUUGUUAUUCUUACCAGUGGGGUGUGGCUGAGAUUCCAUUACAUAUAUGGUCCCACCACGUGAUUCAUCCAGCGGGUGUAUUUUAAUUAUUGAACCAAGACGUGAGUAAUUGGAAAGGAGGAAACCUAAGAAGAAACACCAGUUCUUCUGCAUUGACCUAUACAGGUCAGGACCUAGGAGGUCUUUUGUCUUUUCUUUUGACGUCUAAAAAGAAAUAUUCUUACAUCUCCAAGAGAAAGAGCAAGAAAACAGAGGGAUGAAACACUCCUGAUCGAGGGCCUGUAGUCAAUGUCCCAUUUACCCCAUGUGUCACCUGCUUGAGCCCUAACCCCUACUAUCCACCACUCCAGUUACCCUGAUCUUUCCUGUUCUUAGGGUAUGAUUUAAACAGCCUGUUCUCCUCUUUUUGGAAGUUGGAUACAAAUGAUAAAUAAUCAGUGGUGAAUUUGGCCUCACUUUUGACUGACCUCAUUAGGCUUCAAAUGGGAAUCACAGAGACCCACAAAGGUACAUUGCGGUUGUCCUGGCACUGAGCACU